Long non-coding RNA from Haliotis rubra (blacklip abalone), 385 nucleotides. RefSeq lists it as uncharacterized. The transcript is spliced from 3 exons. Lineage: Eukaryota; Metazoa; Mollusca; Gastropoda; Lepetellida; Haliotidae. The record is from RefSeq and is a predicted model, not a curated record.
AGUGUAUCUAUGGAUGUAAAUAUGGCUUGGUCGGUUUACAAUGCUCCAAUCAGUAUGGGGCUACACAUGCUGUUACUAUAGGACUUUCAACAGGAUCAGCACUUCUAUUUCUGAUGUUGAUGGCAGUGUGCUACCGGUGUCGAAAUGUCGUGAGAUGUGACAGAGGCACCCAAGCGGCCUUCCCUCUACCUGACAGUGUGGAGGAACACAAAGAUACCCCCGCUGUUUAGUACCAUGGGUAUUGUGAAAUACUGGAGGACGACGACAACAGGAGUCACCAGCCUAUCAUGAACCCAGAAGAAGGAAGUGAUUCUCCAAUGCCUGUUUUGGCAGACUGUUUCCCUGCAGCAGGAUACGGAGGUGGAGGAGGAGGGCCAUCAAACAG